CCUACGGGUCGCACCAGUGGGGAAUAUUGCACAAUGGGCGCGAGCCUGAUGCAGCUAUGCCGCGUGUAUGAAGAAGGCCUUCGGGUUGUAAAGUACUUUCAGCGGGGAGGAAGGUGUUGUGGUUAAUAACCGCAGCAAUUGACGUUACCCGCAGAAGAAGCACCGGCUAACUCCGUGCCAGCAGCCGCGGUAAUACGGAGGGUGCAAGCGUUAAUCGGAAUUACUGGGCGUAAAGCGCACGCAGGCGGUCUGUCAAGUCGGAUGUGAAAUCCCCGGGCUCAACCUGGGAACUGCAUUCGAAACUGGCAGGCUAGAGUCUUGUAGAGGGGGGUGGAAUUCCAGGUGUAGCGGUGAAAUGCGUAGAGAUCUGGAGGAAUACCGGUGGCGGAGGCGGCCCCCUGGACAAAGACUGACGCUCAGGUGCGAAAGCGUGGGGAGCGAACAGGAUUAGAUACCCGGGUAGUC
Molecule: ribosomal RNA, 465 nt
Filed under: uncultured bacterium
Lineage: Bacteria
Description: bacterial SSU rRNA
Rfam family: Bacterial small subunit ribosomal RNA
Source: RNAcentral